CAAGCUGUGAUGGGGAGGGAAAUAAUAGUACCGAAGUUCCUGAUGUCACACUGCCGAGAAAAGCUUCUAGUGAGAAAACAGCGGCCCGUACCGCAAACCGACACAGGUAGUCGAGGAGAGAAUCCUAAGGUGAGCGAGAGAACUCUCGUUAAGGAACUCGGCAAAAUGACCCCGUAACUUCGGGAGAAGGGGUGCUGAUCAUACGAUCAGCCGCAGUGAAUAGGCCCAAGCGACUGUUUAUCAAAAACACAGGUCUCUGCAAAAUCGUAAGAUGAAGUAUAGGGGCUGACGCCUGCCCGGUGCUGGAAGGUUAAGAGGAGUGCUUAGCGCAAGCGAAGGUACGAAUUGAAGCCCCAGUAAACGGCGGCCGUAACUAUAACGGUCCUAAGGUAGCGAAAUUCCUUGUCGGGUAAGUUCCGACCCGCACGAAAGGCGUAACGAUUUGGGCACUGUCUCAACGAGAGACUCGGUGAAAUUUUAGUACCUGUGAAGAUGCAGGUUACCCGCGACAGGACGGAAAGAC
This 523-nucleotide ribosomal RNA is filed under the name Enterococcus faecium. RNAcentral describes it as "partial 23S ribosomal RNA". It matches the Rfam family "Bacterial large subunit ribosomal RNA", at positions 1557 to 2089 of the family's 2925-position model. RNAcentral also lists the same sequence under 2 other names. Lineage: Bacteria; Bacillati; Bacillota; Bacilli; Lactobacillales; Enterococcaceae. The record is from RNAcentral.